RNAcentral lists this ribosomal RNA (454 nucleotides) under uncultured bacterium. Its description in RNAcentral is "bacterial SSU rRNA". It matches the Rfam family "Bacterial small subunit ribosomal RNA", at positions 30 to 477 of the family's 1533-position model. The record is from RNAcentral.
AUUGAACGCUGGCGGUAGGCCUAACACAUGCAAGUCGAACGCGAAAGUCCUUCGGGAUGAGUAGAGUGGCGGACGGGUGAGUAACGCGUAGGAAUCUAUCCUGUAGUGGGGGAUAACGUUUCGAAAGGAACGCUAAUACCGCAUACGCCCUACGGGGAAAGCGGGGGAUCUUCGGACCUCGUGCUAGAGGAGGAGCCUGCGUCGGAUUAGCUAGUUGGUGAGGUAAAGGCUCACCAAGGCGACGAUCCGUAGCUGGUCUGAGAGGAUGAUCAGCCACACCGGAACUGAGACACGGUCCGGACUCCUACGGGAGGCAGCAGUGGGGAAUAUUGCGCAAUGGGCGAAAGCCUGACGCAGCCAUACCGCGUGUGUGAAGAAGGCCUUCGGGUUGUUAAAGCACUUUCAGUGGGAGGGAAAGACUGGUUGGCGUAAUAUACCAUCGGCCGUGACGCUA